CAACUUGAUAACAUGCAAAAUGAAAAAAUGUCUAGCACGUUUACUCAGAGAUGCCUCGUAAUGUAAAUGCAAAAUGUAGAUGCUUUUCUAUUUUUCUCCGAACUUCUGCUGAUUUUUGCACUUUAUUUAAUGAUGCUCCUUGUUCUGUUUCCCCCUCCUGAAAUCUUCCGAAUGCCCUUACAUCAAAGUGUGUGAAAGCUGGUACACUCGUGCACGUUCUUUAGAAGAAAUGUAAGUUCGGAAAUGUCUUCUGAUGUUGUGUUUGCUCCGUGAUUAUUUUUCAGCCUUAUAAAAUUUAUAGCUUAAUUUCCCUUCUCUUAUCCUUUUGUGCUGCCGCCUUCGUUACCUUUCAGCCUUCACACUCUGUCAGCCUGGUUUUCUGAAAACCCCGCCGUCUCCUUUUGAUCAAAAGGUUUUUGUUCCUGCACAGUGCUCUCAGCCUUCAACAUCUGCUGUUCUGCUUCAGCACAAAAUUGACUGCCCGAAGACUCUUGUCAAAUUCACGAUGGCAGUGCCGACGCAGUCAGUAGCAUUGGUGCUUUCAGUGACCCCAUAGGAAGGCUGGCUCUUGCCCUCAGCUUGCCAUUCACCCACACCUCUGGAGCGAGGAUUUGCUUGGGUUUUCUGCAUUGCAGGAUCGUAGGUCUGUUUGCACAUCAGACUAGGCUCUGAUAGCCCUGUCACUUUCAAACUUUUAAAUCUCUUGAAUUUUCCUAUUUUAUAUGUAGUUUUCUGUGUAUGGUGAUUUUAAACUACUUAUAAUAAAGUUAGUUUACUUAAUUACCUUCCUGUGUGUUGCUGGAAAGCACACCAUUAGUUUUCUGCUAAGGUAUGUCAGCAGGGUGGGUUUUUGGUAUGCGGGUGCCACCAACCUUCCCAUUCUACUCUUUGGAUUACAAAUUCCACAUGGAACCUGAAAAGUCUUUGCUAGUGCAGGUUUUGUUGCUUGCUUUCAUCAAAGCUGAUGUUGUCUCAUGACUAACUUUAACUUCACCGAAUUACUUUUCAGUAUAGAACAGUUUAUUAAAAAUUCCAGAGCAGCAGUGGUUGAUGGCUCCAUGUUUGACUGCAGUGGUGUCUCCUAGCAACUUGGCUGAAAAAUGAACAUCCAGCAGGGAUGCUCUGACUGCUACGUAAAACCGUGUUUCUCUUGAUGAGGCUAACUCAACCAUCUUCACUGCUGUCCUCUGCACUAAAUGUUGUGCCGUACUGUUGAAAGCGCUUCUCAAGAUCAGCAUUAAAGGUAUAAUCUUUUAAAAAGACUGCUGUUGUUAGUUGUAAACAAUCACUCCUCUUUGAGAUUUCACAGGUACUGUGACCAAAGCUUAUAUGGAAAGUACUUUUCAAUUGACAAGUGGGACACGGUGACAGCACUGCAAGAUCUACACAGGCAGUAAGCCUGAAGGGGCUGUAAUUGGAACAGUAGAGUUUGGCCUGCUGUAUUUCACCUCAAGAAAUCAAAGGAGCAGUUGAAGUUGGAUUUCUCCAUGUUUUUAUAUUCAGAUAUCAACUCCACUCUGCUUUGGGUGUGAGAAUACCUCUGAGGUUGGACUAGCAAGUUCCUGUACCUGCCUCUGGCCUUAAAUGAUUAAAGGUGCUGAACAGAUGACUCUUGCGUGGUUGAAAAGCACUAUAAAGAGCUGAGGGGGCUUGAAUCUUGCUUUUUUUCUGAUCUUUUCCUUUAGCCAUGUUCCUCUUGAACUAAACUCUCUUCAAAACUUCUCUUUGCAGAUGAGGCUUUCUGUUUUAUUCUAGCCUGUGUCAAAGUAAAUUUAUAAUGGGAGUUUUCUUUCACUUGCGUAUAACCUUGAGGAGCUUUUCUGCUGUUGACUGGAGCAACCUCACAAAGAAUAGAGCUGAACAGCUUUGCCUCAUCUAAUCAUGCUGGAAAAAAAUGUAUUGAGUUCUCUUAAGAAACCAACGGAAAGAUUAAAAAUGCAACAAUUUUGCACAAAUCCAUUCUCAUUACAUCUUUCCAAGUAACCAUUUCAAGCUAUUAUCAGUUGUUGAGCUUCAUUUCUAUCACUAAUAAAAACAAUAUGUGACAAAUAAUGGAAUAUCGAUUUAGUGACUUGAAACUUGUGAAAUUGCCAUUUUAUUCAAUGCAUCUAUAGGCAGCACAGCAGAAUGGAAGUUUUAUUGUAGAGUGAAUGAACCUAUUGGUUUGAGCAUGGCAUAGUGAAAUUACAACGCAGCAAUAAAGUUGCAGGGCACACGUAGGCCAUCUGUUUCAUAGUGGGAAAAUAAACAACAUUGUGGUGACGGCCCCAAACAAUAAAUCUGGAUUUCAAAAAGAAAAGCAGUUGGAGCUUGUAAUGUUAGGAACAGCAUAGGGUGUUGCACAUCCUCCUUCCUUUCCAUGCUGUUGCUCAGCUGCAGUAUUCUCUCAAAUGCUACUUGGUUUUGGCAUCUUUAGUUAUUACAGUAUGUUGAGUUAAGGUCUAAAAAGCUCUUCAAGUCACAGAACACUGAUUCAACAAAGUGUGGCUCUUCGUGUCUUGCUUAUGGUCUUUAUCACCUUUUUAUUUUCAGUGUAGGCAGGGAGGGAGAUGGUCAACUUGUGGUGCUCCACUACCAGAUAAGAAAAAGAGCAAAGAGGUCACAAUCUAUGAGCAAGAGGCUGGCAUGAAACCAAGAUUUGUUCAAUGAUCCAUCAAAACAAAAUAAGAUCUAGUAGCUGGGCCCUGUGUUACCAGAAAAUGAAGCAACCAGAGUAUUGUAAUACAGGAAAAGUGUUUUUCUUAUUAAUUCAGAGAUGUGAAAUAAGACGAAUCUCUCAUUCUGACUGAUCUUUAAACAUUCUGAAUUGCAGCCCUUCUGUUGUCAAAUGUCCUGUGACCUUAAAGAAAUGUCUGAGAGGACUCACCUGGUAACUGUUGACAUAUGUAAAUGCAAAAUGUGACUAAGUUAAGUACUGCAUCCUUUUUCAAUUAUUUUUGUUGCAUUAGAAAUGUUAUAGAAUUGUGUCUACCUAGCAAGAAAUAAAAAAACAUCUUUCUUCUUUGGUGAGUGGGAUAUUCUGCAGGCUAUUUCUGCACAAUCCUGCACUGUUUUGUGUCCCCCUUCCCACAGCAGUCCUCUGUAUCACACCUGGAUGACCUUCUGUAAUGCCAUCUGGUCAAAUUCCAUGUAUUGACCUUUUGGGGGAGGAGGAGAAGCAGACAGAAGACGUCAGGGUUGUUGAAGCCACUAGUUUCUGGUCCAGUUACAGGGCUCUGCCUUGGGGCAUGUAUAUACAGUCUUAGUGGCAAAACCUCUCUGGCAUUCCCUUCUCCAUUCACCUACCUGUCCCCACUUCCUAGCCUCGAUUCCUCUAUCUUCCAAGACGUAGUGAGUACACAUUUUCCUUCAGUCUCCCCAAAGCCUGCUGCUUUGCAGAGUCAGACCUUCAUAGAUAAUUGCUGUAAGUAUACAUUCACUUCUGUGAAAGGGGGUUUCCAUCCUUACUGAGCUGUCUCCAUUAGGCAUCUAGUCACCUGCCUGGCACAAGUUGGCGCCUGUUGGAUGGUAAAUGAGAAGGAUGGAAGGAACAUGUUUUAUUUGUGUUUAAGCCGCAGAAGGCACGGUUUUAUUGUAUUUUUGUUGUUUUUCUUUUCUUAUAACGUUCACCAGCUUUAAGAUGAGAGCUUGAAAAGCACCAUUAAAAUGAAGAAUGGUUGCAAAGUAAUAAAGAAACAAUCAUCUCACUUUAAGGACUUGAACUAAAAGCUAAAUGACUGUAGUGGUUUAGACUGUAAAAGCAGUGGGAAAUUUAAUGAACACUGACCCUACAGGAAAGUCAAUCUGUCUGUUAAUGUUCAGUUACGUUAUUUCUUCCAAAAAGCAAUAAGCUUCUUUUAUCUGAUCUGUUGGUUAUGGAACCUGGGGUCAGACACCCGUUGGGCUUAAUUCUUCCAGUUUGUCCCACAUGAAAUGACUGACCUUUUUGGUAUAUCUGCUAAGUGUCCCAAGCAAGAAAUAAUGUCUCAGGAAGAUAAUAUGCAGGUUCUUAGGAAAUGGUUAUAGUUUUGGACAGAUUGUCGUAGACUUGACUGUGGACAUUCUGAACGGUCUGUAAAUUCCCCUAAUAUUAAGCAUAUUCAGCCAAUUCUAUUACUUGGUUGAGGCAAAAUAUAAAGAACAGAACUAAGAUGGAUUAACAGUGGCUGGGUGCCCGAGUCCUGUAACAAGUCAUUGAGCAAGAUGCUGUACAAUAUUUAUUGCAAAUCUCACAGUAAAAGUGGCAAUCAAAUAAGACAUAAACAUAUGAAGCUCUUUGCUUAUGUUAAACUGUUAAGAAAAUUUAUUUACUUAACCAGGUGGUAGGAAGAAUGUGUGCAAAAGGGCACCUUGACAGCUAGCUGAUUUAAAGCUGAAAUAAUUCAGCUGAGAGUAGUAUAUCCCUUUUCCAGGCUGCAGUGUAAGAAACCUUUGUAAAGCAAGAAAGCUGCUUGCUUUUGCUGAGCACCCUCUGCAUGAGAUGCUGUGCAGGGUGCAGGCCCAGAAGGGGCUGGAGAAGUCUGCCACUGUUCUUGCCACGUGGCAGAGCCAGCCCCUGGCAAAUGGCUGUCAAAAAUCACAGAAGCACCUCCAGCUGCAGGCAGCAAUCCUGCUAGCGUUCUGCCUGGUGCAUUACCUGAGCCUCUUCUGCUGCAGUGUAAACCCUUUCUUGUCCAAUCUCCAGUGGAUAUUAAGAACUGUUUGCCAUUGCCUCCUAAAUUUCAGAGGAUUGUUAUCAUGUAAUCAUUCAUCUUUCCUCCACGUUGUAAUAAUCUGUUUUCACAGAGUCAUAGAGUGGCUCGGGUUGGAAGGGACCUCAAGGAUCAUGAAUCUCCAACUCCCCUGCCGCAUGCAGGGCCACCAACCUCCCCAUUUACUACUAGACCAGGCUGCCUGAGGCCCUGUACAACCUGGCCUUGAACACCUCCAGGGACAGGGCAUCACAGCCUCUCCGGGCAGCCUGUGCCAGCACCUCACCACUCUCAUAGUAAAGAACUUUCCCCUGAUAUCCAACCUAAAUCUUUCCUCCCUCAACUUAUUUUUGUUUCCAUUUCUACAUGUCUUUCAGCUUUUGACAAAAUGAGUAAUUACUGCUCUCAAGCUUUAGCCCAGCAAGCAGAUGCAGUGGCACAUGAGGGGGAGCACAGGGAACCAACUGGAAAAGCAUUGUGUUUGAGCACUGUGCCAAAGGUGCACUGUGCAUCUUGACAAAUUCACAAAUGUGGGUAGUCUCUAGUCUUUAAAUGAGUUUUAAUCUGUGGCCUGGUUGGAACAAGUCUUACCAGGUUGUGGCCAAAUUAAGUAACAGCCAGAACAGAUGUGACAGGACUAUUCAUAUCGAGGGCCUACUCUACGAAGUUAUUUAUUUAGGCCAAUGUUUUUGUUUGGCUUGAUUUUAAUCUUAUGUGCUUCUUAAAUUAGAAUCUGAUGGUAUUUGGUGAUGCUUUGGGUGGCUUUGCAUAGCAGCUUGUCCUGCGAGAAUAGGACUGUGUGGGUGUGGGAUAAGACUUCAGAGGUGGCUGAGCUGGCAACACUCACCAGGCCCCAACACUUACCAGGCCACAACACUCACCAGGCCACAACACUCACCAGGCCGCAACACUCUGGGUUUUUUCUGGUUAACUCAUGGGGAUUGUCUGGAGACCAGACAUGCACGUACCUCACAGUGCACAAAUGCCACCAGAGGUGUAUGAAUUGGCUGCAUACUGAAUGUCACACUAAAUCUGUGUUUUCUUCCUUAUGAUGCUUUAACAAAAAUGGUGUCGCUCUAUUUACAUAUACAUCUCAGGUGUCAAGUCUAUUCAAGUUUAUGUUCCUUAAAAGCUUAUUGCAAUUUAGGGUCCAAUAUAUCUAACACAACUAGAACUUCACAUUUAACAAGUUAUAGAGCUUUCUAUGGUUUCCUUCAUUUUCCCCUUUUUUGUCUUGCUGGCUGACAGUUGGUACUGCAGGCUGAAAAACAGCUUUUCCAGGCAGCAGCAUCCUCUUCCAUUAAGCAAAUCUUGUUGACGUAAAGGGAAUUUUCAGGCUGGCAGUUAGCUAUAGCUAGCAUUCAGCAAAAUGUUGGUAAAAUACAGUCUGGAGAAAGUUGUUGUCUUCAUGAAAAUGAAAGGGCCCUAGGGGCCCUGUCCCAUGUGCUGAGCAGGGCUGGGAUGGGAUAGUGGUUGGGGCCACACAGACCUGAGGACUACAGGGCGCAUCCAUAGGGAGCAGCACAGCUUUUGCUUUCCAUCAUCUCCACAUCUGAGCACAGACAUCAGAAGCACACUGCAGAGAUCAGUGAUCACGCAGUGCACGUGCGCAGCGCGGUGCAUGUGGGGCACCACGUGUCUGAGUAGUGACUGUGAGAAUGACUAAUCCAAUUAGCUACUUCCUCCAUUCCACAGAGCUGCCCUAUCCUUUUCAGCAAUUAAGUAUCAUGACACAGUCACAUCUAUGCCACGCUAAAAACACUGACCUAUCUGUGGCUGUGAGAAGCAAGCUGCACCCAGUCCCUGUCACUGCCUGCUGGGCUGCCCUGGGAGUCUGUAGCAUCCUCCCCGCAAUCCUGCCCUUAUCGCAUGCUGGGUGCUCCUUAUCUCACCUCACUGGCUGAUUCUUUUUAAGCUGUUGCAUGUGAGAAUGUGUUUCCUUCCUUCCAACAGCAUUAGUCAAAGCAGUUGCGAUGCGUUUUGUCUCUCAUUUACCUGUCAAGAUCUGGUUAACGAUGCUCUCCUUCCUAAUAGCAGAUGACACUGCAAAUCAGCAGCAAGGCCCAGAGCUGGCAAGGAACUUCUGUGUAAGGCAAAGCUGGGACCAAUCACUCACGCAGAACCGAAUCACUCAGAAGAAGAAUUUUUCAGGUGCAUCUGAUAAGACAGUUGCAAAAUAUGCAUGGCCUUUUGGAGUGUAAGACAGAAUAUGAAAUACGUGGAGAAAACAUUUCUGGGUGGCAUUAUCAAAGAUGUUUAGCAUAUGGUUAGCAGCUUUCAGUCAAGCAGAAGAUGAACCUUUUGUAGGCUGUAGUAGGGGCCAUAAUUUCCCUUCAGAGGCACAUUUGGAAAGCACAUUCAGGACAACCGGGUUAGGAGGCGGUACAGAUGUUUGUGAGCUGAACAAAGGGGAUCACAGGCCUGAGGGCAAGAUGUAAACGAAGAUACUUAAUUGCAGAAGGGUCAGUGCAAGUAAGGAUGCGAGGCUAGAGAAUUUUACUCGUAUGAUUAACCUUCUUUAAGCUGCUGAUAAGUGGGUUGCUUGCCUAAGGUGAGUUGUGGCACUGAGCCUCCAUUUUCUUUGUCUUUUUGAGUCUCUGAAAUAGAGGAAAAAAGAAUACAUGAAGUUUUCUUCCAAUGUUUAGUUGUUGUAGGCUGGAUAGCAGCAGAGGGUCACAUUAGGCUCCAUGAGAUGAAAUAAAUGUAAUGCAUUCUGAUUAUGUGUUACUGCUAUAAGCAAAACAGCAACCCUUUAAAGAGUAAAUGCUCUUUCUAUAAAUACUAUGCAUAUAUUGUAGAACGAAAUUCCCGGUUCAUGAUCCUGAUUCUUUUUUUAGUAUUUUCUCAAAGGAAUGGAAGUGCAAUGGGUGUUGCCAUAUUGCCCUCUCGUGGGGUGAGCCUGUAAAUAGCAGCCAAGCACGCCUGGCUGCAGGCUCUCCUCUCGGUGCCGCUGGGGUUUUCCCUGUUCUGGGGUGCACAGGAGUACCCCACCUGAGGACACGGUGUUCAGAGACCUCCCUGUGGGAAACAGCCAAAGAAGUCCACAGUGUAAACGUUUUCUCCUAAUUCUGUUCCUGCACUUCAGUAGAACACAGCUUUGCGGUUGGUUCCUUAUCAGAAUUGCAAAGACCAGCCCAGAGCGUCAAAACAAUAAGCGGCCUAAAUACAAUAAAACUCCUCCACUGAGCUCUCCUUCCGUGGGACUUUGCACAGCAAACACCAAUUAAAAAGCAGGAGGAUGAACUGCAGUGCUGCUUUGCGUUACAGAGCGUGCCUUGAAGCAGCUGUCAGACGUGAAGAUAGCUCACUGUGAAUGGGAGUCUAUAGGCAGAUCCAUUUUGCUGUGCUGUGAAUGAUGCCAUCUAUCACGCAGAUCGCUACAAUCGCCUCCCACGUUGUUAUACCUCAUCUCUAUUCCAUGCUGUUCUCCAGGAAUUUUAAAGCAGCCUUCUCCUGUCUGGCCGAGGUGCUUUUGUCACCUGCACUUAGAGAGUUGUCUGAGUGCUUUGCAGCCUCUGAAAUAUUUAUCGUCUCCCUUCUCCUGUAAGGCAGGGAAACUCUCAAUUUGCAGAUGACAGAGCGAGGCACACAGAUUAGUUCUUGGAUCCAAAAAGAGGCUUACACAUAUAAAGUGGUGCUUGGGCAGAAUUUGAGAGACUCCGUCCAAAAUGUACAUUGUCAAAAGCCCCAUUCAAAGGCUAGAGAUGUCUGUGUGGGAAGCUGCACAGCCUGAGGGAGAGGAAAACUAACAGCGGUUCGACUUCUUGUUACAAGCCCUUUAUUGAUGCUUAUGACAUAGAAGCUCCUGAAUAAAACUGCCUUCAGAGCAGACUUCUCAUGCAGCCUGCUAGCUGCCUCAGUGGGGAAGAGGAGGAAGCACAACCUAGGGAGAUCCCAGAGGGGAAGGAAUCAAGACAUGAUCUUGUGCCACCCCGCUGUGCCUAGCUGAGGGAAACACUGCCCUGCUGGUUUGAUGUACGAAACGUCUACAAGCCCGGAGAAAAAACUUCUCUGGGAGCCUGCUGCAGGAUGAACAGUUGUGCCAUGCCAUACGUGGCUGUGGUUUUGCUGAGCUGACCAGACAGGGGUACAUUUAAUGUGGAGCUGCCUGGGGACUUGCCUGCUGUGCGCAUUCAGAGUUCAUUUCACUAGCCUGAACUACUGCAACUCAAUUAACAGUGAUUCUAUCCCAUAGCACGGUGGGGCACGUCUCCAGAGAACACAAUAGCUGAGUCCUAGGCACUUCUAACCUCAGGAAAAAUUGAGUGCCCAGCUCUCUGAGCUUAGAAAUAUGUCCUAAACUUCAGUCAGAGCGUGGUUGGAAUGGGAAUUCUCCCCAUGACUCUAAAAGCUGGGCCAUUGGACAUCUGACAAUGGAAGGUUCAUGGCUCCAGCAGAUGCAGCCAUGACCUGGAGCUCAGAGGGCAGUGCAUAUCCUGAGACAAGGAGUCUGGCUCCUAUUCUAGAGCGUUUUCUCUACUUUAUGAGCACUGUGUUUCAGUUUUCAUAGCAGUCCAAGGAGCCACAGAACCCCUCUCUCCAAGCUAAAUGCCUAAUCCCAAGCCUAUCAAUCCACUCAAAUAUUCUCUUUGAGAAAGAUUACUCACGUUGGUUACUAACAGCAAUUAGAGGUAUGCAAAUAACUGGUAGACAUAGAAAUUAGAAGACUAGUCUGCCUCAUUUUCCCCUGUACAGCUCACCCAGAAGCCUUUCAAAACUGAAACUAAAGGUCAGGGAUAGUUGCAAAAGAUCAGCGGUGGGUUACGUCAAAAUGCAGUGCAACAUCUGGAUAUUCUGGUUUGUCCUCUGAAGGACACACCAACUAUAAGUGCAGGCACAUGUGAGACUAGGCACCUCCUUCCAUUAAGUAGCGUGAGUAUCUCCUAUAUGUGACUGUAUGAUGAUGAAUAGCGUUAGCACUUCUUGAUAAUGCAGCGCAGCAGUAAAGAAAAAGAACGUUACAUUAGAAAACAAAUCCUAUUUUUCUGUAGAAUGCAGAUUUCUCCUUUUGAACUGUCAUCCAGAACUGACUUGGAAGUUGAUUCAAAGCCCAUCCAGAGAGGACUGUGUCUUAAUAACUAGACAUCCUUAAGCAGAUGUUUAAGGAUAUCUCUACUCGGCAAAGCACAGAAAUCCAUCCCACAGAAGGCCGAUUUCCCCCAUAAGUGCACUGUUGAACUGAGAUUUUGAAAUACAUCAUCACCUUUGUUACAAAUCUUCUCUCACUUUGGAGCUCUACUCUAUCAGAAAGAAAAGCCAUAUGGAACUAAUCAUGCACAUUUUGUCUGGCAGACAGGCAUUAUAGCAGAUUGUGUUUUCCCUUCAAGUGAUGGUCCAUAUGAGCAUGCAAACUGUGGUGUGCAUAUAUUCCAAUAUGCAAGACAAGAUUUUUCAUUCUGACAAAAUCCACACUGAUGUAGAUCCUCCUCAGUCUGGUAAUAAUCACAAGAGAUGAGCACACUCAUCACUGCCUAUCUUCUAGUCAAAUGUGACUUUAUUUUUUUUCUUUUUGCACACUGUCCUCACACAAACAUUAAUCUUUUUGAGGCUGUUUUCAUUCUUAUUAUAUUUCAUAUAUCACUUGAAUUCAUUUCCUUGUCUGUUGGCUCCUCAGGAAGGUAGUAGAGUUCAGAUUACAGAUCCCACACGUGGCUCUGAAGCACUGUCUGGUGACAAACUUGGAUGCUUGCCUCAAGGCAAACUCUUUCCCAGAGCCUGUCCAGCCCCUGUGAGUCAGUACAGACUCUACUUCUAAUUGCUUUUCUGCCUUGGAUGGAAUGGGUUUCCUCGCAGGUUCAUCCAAAGGUACAUAGCUGCACACAUUCCUUGACUCUUAUGAGAUGAGAUGGUAGGUCCCCUUGGAUUAUCCCAUGCUAGGACUCACGCUUAACGUAACAUUCAUUUAUAUAUGGUCAUGCUAUUUUCAGUGGAUCAAUCAGUUAAUGCAAAUAUGGUGGAAAAAAAGGCUUCUAAAUCUGGAAGACCUUGUGCCAAAAUAUGAGCCAGUGAUACCAUCACCAGCACCUGAAGUUGGCUUUCUUUUAAAUUCACCUUAUUAUGAAAUUCAUCUGGACUUGUAAGUGGCAGCAGGAGCCUUGGAGAUGUCUCAGCUGUCCAAUAAUGUUUAUAAGGGAAGACUGGAGAGAGAUGAUAUACUAGGCAAAAGAUUGCACACAGAGAACAUUUCUUAUUUAGAAUCCCCAAGUGUUCAGUUCUUUUCACACCUUACUGUAUACAUCUCUUCUUACUCUAAAUGACAGCAAUUGCUGAUGAUCUGUCUCACAGAGACCUUAAUCCUUUCCUGAUUCAAGAUGUCGCCUUCGUGUUUUAAACGUAGCAUUUGAUACCAUGGUCACAGCCAUUCAAUUCUUUGGCUCUUCAGUCUUGGUUAAAGGUAUGCCAGGGGAAAAGCACCAGCCAGUGGAGGAUCUGGAGUUCCUGAAUCUAGGUUCGUGUAGAUCUUUGGCCCCAGAGCAGAUGGGACUCUGAGGAGUUCAGGAAGUUAAAGGCUCCCAUUUGAUCUCAAGGAAUAUCUAGAACCAUUAAAUGUAAGCAACAGCACACACAGUGUUUAUCGGCUAGCAUGGUCAGUCCAGAAGUCACUUAUGUCCUGCAGGACAGCCUAUCAACAGUCCUGAGAUACCAAGGUUUAACUAGACAUCAUUACUGCCAGAGACCAUUUGUCUGUACGUACCAGCCUCUUGCAACUCCAGCUUUGGAGGUGUCUCGGAGGACGCAGUCCUCUUCCUGCACUAUCAAUCAUCGUUAUCAACCCCUUCCAACACCUAGCUAUCCAGGUAUCUUUCUACCUUGGAAUCAACCAUUUCUGAGUCUAAGGUGUUGGCAAUGCAAAUCAUGAAGACAGACUGCAAUCUGGUUUCUUUGGCAUUGCAUAUGCACCUUCCUAUCACUUUUCUGGAAUCUCUCCUCAAGAUUCAGCUUCUGCAGCAGCUGGACCCUCUUCUAGCACAGGGGCUGGACAAACAGCCCUCAUCAUCUCAGGAAGAAGGAAUUUCACAUCAGUGACUCUGUGCCCUCACACAUUGUAUUCCUUUUGGAUUUACUACCAGCAGACUCCCACCGUCAACUGUUCUGACAGCCCCCUGCCCUCUUGUAGCAGGAACUUUCAAGUAACUGGAGGAAAUACACUUUCAGAACAAAGCUAAAACAGAGGAAGUCUGUAACAUAUGCUUCAAGGCAUGAAUAUAGGGUAGACAUUUG
RNAcentral lists this long non-coding RNA (11891 nucleotides) under Gallus gallus (chicken). Lineage: Eukaryota; Metazoa; Chordata; Aves; Galliformes; Phasianidae. The record is from RNAcentral.